AUGUGCAUAGAGGAACGGAUAGAGGAGGCGGUGGUGGAAACGGAUUGCCUGACCAAAGCCUUCCAAAUCACUUACCUCGGGCUCUCUCUAUCUGAUGCAAGAUUACGGAGAGAAGAUUUGCAUCCAAUUAUUGACUGCCUUGCGAAGCGACUGAGGGGAUGGAAGGCCAAGCUAAUUGCAUUGCUGGGCAGAAUUGAGUUGGUCAAGACAGUGCUAACAACCAUGGCUAUCUACUGGAUCAUGGCAAUCACGCCACCAGCUUGGUUCCUUAAAAUGAUUGAUAAGCUGCGACGUGGAUUCCUAUGGGUGGCAGACGAGUCUUCUCCGGGCGGUAAGUGCCUCGUUAGCUGGAAGAAGGUCUGCAGACCGCGAAAAUUUGGCAGCCUGGGAGUGCAUGAUCUGCAGCGCCAAGGAGCUGCGCUCCGUGCUCGAUGGCACUUGACUAGCUGGAUGGAUGACUGCAUGCCAUGGCGAGAACUAGUUCUGCCUCACAAUCCGGCAGCCGUGGGUAUAUUCAGAGCAUCGACGAAAAUAAUCAUCGGCAAUGGGAGGAGGACUAGUUUCUGGCGCUCACACUGGGCGCAGGGAUGCCGGCCGGCAGACCGGUGGCCGGAGCUCUUUGCGCACUGCAACGGGCGCCGGCUUGCGCUCCGGACGGCGCUUGAAGGCAAUGCAUGGCUCAGAUAUGUGAAGCAAAACCCCAACGCCACAGUGCUGCACCAACUCUGUGAGCUUUGGGAGGUGGCUUCAAGAAUCCUACGCGGGGAGGGAACACCGGACAUCCUUCACUGGAAGUGGACCUCUGAUGGCAAGUACACGACGGCCUCGGCAUAUCACUAG
Molecule: ribosomal RNA, 840 nt
Filed under: Triticum aestivum (bread wheat)
Lineage: Eukaryota; Viridiplantae; Streptophyta; Magnoliopsida; Poales; Poaceae
Description: partial small subunit ribosomal RNA
Source: RNAcentral